Peromyscus maniculatus bairdii (prairie deer mouse) is the source of this 1317-nucleotide non-coding RNA. NCBI's taxonomy places the organism in Eukaryota, Metazoa, Chordata, Mammalia, Rodentia, Cricetidae. The record is from RefSeq and is a predicted model, not a curated record.
CAGCCAUCUACAAUGAGAUUUGGUGCCCUCUUCUGGCCUGCAGGCCAAACACUCACUGUAUACAUAAUAAAUAAAUAAAUCUUUAAAAAAAAAAAAAAGAAAGAAAGAAAGGAAAAAGAAAAGAAAACGCCUCCAAAAGAUCUGGCUUUCUCUGGAACAGUGCACGAUGGCCCGAGUACUGAGUGGAUCGGGAAGAAACGGGCCAGUUUGGCCCCAAACUCCCUCUGAACCUCACUGAGCAGCCUGUCCUCACCUCACGUGGUCCUGAUGAAUUCACCUAGCUGAUCCUAACCCAAAGAACACGGAAACAGGCCGGUGAGGUGAGGACUUUGCUGUCACAGAGUUGGUGUCAAGGUGAACCGGCACCCAGGUUUCCUCUGUCCUGGUCUACACUGUAUGAACUCCACGCCUAGGGAGGACUCGUGUAUGAAAUGGUAAAGUGGAGACGUGUGACCCCCGCAGCUGAGGGACCCACUUACUUCCAGUUUCGCGGUUUCACCCGAUGGCUGGUCUUCCAAGGAGAAGCUGAUGCGCACACAGUGCCCACCUACAACAGGGUUGUGAGGGAGACAUUGUUGUUCUUACUUCGCAGAUGAUGCAGUUGAGAGGUUCGUUACAGUCGUCCCAAGUUUGCCCAGCGGGGAAGUGGUAGCAUCAGGACUGGAACCCACAUUUCUUCCACUCUAGAGCUCCUGUGCACAUCACACUUAACAGUUUAUACUUUUCAACUUUCAAAAUGGUGGCCUCAUUUCCUGAUGUUUACGUUUGUAGUUGCAGCCAUUUAAUAAAUACUUCUUAGCAAGCUCAUUGCCGAGCACAGUUGAGAUACUGCCGUGACCAACAAACACAAACCCCUUUUCUGGGGGAGCAGACAGUAGCCCCUAGAACAAGUCCCACGAAGUGAGAGAUGCCACCGAAGGAUGAAACAGAAGAAGGAGCAGGGAAUCCUGGGAUCUGGGGCCAGGGAAAGACAGCGAUUUCACAAAAGGAACCUUUCUAUGGGGCUUGAGAAUGAAGCUCUGAAGGUGCCUGAGAGAACAGGCCGACGGACAUCUGAGAGGAGAGGCUGACGUGAGGAAAGGGUGCAUUUAAAGUCAAGGAAGAAGCAGAGCCGAGUGUACAGGACAGUGGACACAGGAGGCGGAAGUGAUGGAGGCCAGGCCUGUUCUGAGGGAGUAACAUCAGCUCUUCUCCCAAAUGAGACGGGAGUCAGGGAGCAGAAGACAGGUACACUCACACUUCCUAGAGGGUCACUAAGUGUGCUGAGAGUGGGAACAAGAGAAUGCAGGAGCACUAGUUGGGAGCCUGAAAGGCUUC